UUUAGAGUGAGAACGAUCCCUAAGGAUAACACAUGGCAGUUAAGGUCUAUAAAUCCUAAUUCUAUUAAGAAGUUAGAAUGGUAAAAGUCCCACAUGAUUAGGAAUUUUAAAGUUAUAAAGGUCUCACAUUGGCUAAGAAGUUCAAAAUUUCAAAAUUCCCACAUCAGUUAGGAAAAUCAUAAUGACAAAAGUCCCACAUUAGUUAGAAAGAUAAAGUUACAAAUAUCCCACAUCGGUUAGCAAGUAAAGUGGCAAACUUUAAUGUCCCACAUUAGAUAGGCAAUCAACACCUCGGCUCCCCUCUCCUAUAAAUAAGGGAUGAUGGGAAGGGGGAAAGAACCAUAGUGUG
RNAcentral lists this long non-coding RNA (349 nucleotides) under Carica papaya (papaya). RNAcentral describes it as "long non-coding RNA (CPAP_LNC005349)". The record is from RNAcentral. Lineage: Eukaryota; Viridiplantae; Streptophyta; Magnoliopsida; Brassicales; Caricaceae.